CCACGCCCAGGAAACCGGAAGGGCUCUUUUCCGCCGGAAGGACUGAGUCCUUGCGGAGAGCAUCGGACCUCAAAGGAGCUGUAUAAUUCCAGGCACAGGGAACACAAACAGAUGUCCAGUUUGUCUUGUUUUCAUCCAGUUGCAUUUCUUUUUCUUAAGAGGUAUAUGAGCUCCCUGAAAAUACAAAGCACUUGUUUCCAUGUUCUGAUCAUUCAGAGAUUAUGAAGGCACAGUGCCUACCUUUGGUUUGCUUGCAGUGAGGUGGAGCAGGCACAGAUUUAUCAGCAGGUUGCAGGUGAACAUGGCCUUGAGGUAAACCCUGCCCCUUAUUGAAAUUUAGUUUCAGCAGAUUAUUCAUGGUAUUUUAAGGAAUUUGAAUAUUUCACAAAAAAACAAAAGUUCCAUUUGGUUCUGUUCUAGACUUAUUUUUUCUUCUAAAUAAAUGAGAAAGAUGUUUCCACAAAGGUUCUUUAUGCUGAAUAAUUGCGAUGCUUGGUCAUCUGCCUUGUGUAAGUGGAUUUUAAAUGUCAAAGACAAUUCUAGACACUUCUUUCUUGGUCAAAUAAAAAUCUUACCAAAACCUUA
This is a long non-coding RNA of Microcebus murinus (gray mouse lemur), 585 nucleotides long. RefSeq lists it as uncharacterized. The record is from RefSeq and is a predicted model, not a curated record. Lineage: Eukaryota; Metazoa; Chordata; Mammalia; Primates; Cheirogaleidae.